Molecule: ribosomal RNA, 254 nt
Filed under: uncultured bacterium
Lineage: Bacteria
Description: partial 16S ribosomal RNA
Rfam family: Bacterial small subunit ribosomal RNA
Source: RNAcentral
UACGUAGGGUGCGAGCGUUGUCCGGAAUUAUUGGGCGUAAAGAGCUUGUAGGCGGUUUGUCGCGUCUGCUGUGAAAAAUCCGGGGCUCAACCCCGGACUUGCAGUGGGUACGGGCAGACUAGAGUGUGGUAGGGGAGACUGGAAUUCCUGGUGUAGCGGUGAAAUGCGCAGAUAUCAGGAGGAACACCGAUGGCGAAGGCAGGUCUCUGGGCCGAUACUGACGCUGAGGAGCGAAAGCGUGGGGAGCAAACAGG